Molecule: ribosomal RNA, 256 nt
Filed under: uncultured bacterium
Lineage: Bacteria
Description: partial 16S ribosomal RNA
Rfam family: Bacterial small subunit ribosomal RNA
Source: RNAcentral
GAUCCUGGCUCAGGAUGAACGCUAGCUACAGGCUUAACACAUGCAAGUCGAGGGGCAGCAUCAUCAAAGCUUGCUUUGAUGGAUGGCGACCGGCGCACGGGUGAGUAACACGUAUCCAACCUGCCGACAACACUGGGAUAGCCUUUCGAAAGAAAGAUUAAUACCGAUGCGAUAAUUUUACCCGUUCCAUAGGAGUAAUUAAUUUAAAGUAAAUUUACGGUUUGGUUCGAUAGGGUAGUGCGUUCCUACUAGUACG